UACGGAGGAUGCGAGCGUUAUCCGGAUUUAUUGGGUUUAAAGGGUGCGUAGGCGGGCUGUUAAGUCAGCGGUCAAAUGUCGGGGCUCAACCCCGGCCUGCCGUUGAAACUGGUGGCCUCGAGUGGGUGAGAAGUAUGCGGAAUGCGUGGUGUAGCGGUGAAAUGCAUAGAUAUCACGCAGAACUCCGAUUGCGAAGGCAGCAUACCGGCGCCCGACUGACGCUGAGGCACGAAAGCGUGGGUAUCGAACAGG
RNAcentral lists this ribosomal RNA (252 nucleotides) under uncultured bacterium. RNAcentral describes it as "partial 16S ribosomal RNA". It matches the Rfam family "Bacterial small subunit ribosomal RNA", at positions 524 to 776 of the family's 1533-position model. The record is from RNAcentral.